CGCGGCGGCCGGGACCGGGCCGCGGCGGCCGCGGGUUGGCAUACGGCGGAGGUUUGGGAGACUCCGGUCCGCUCGGCAGCUGGCGGGCCACCCGGGCCUCCGCGGAGACGAUGGCGAAGGAAGAAGGGUCGUCUGUAGAAGUCCGCCAAAGGAAGAAGCACAAGACUUCAGGAAGCCAGGAAGCCAGAGCACAGAAGACCAGAAGCCCCGCAGUUUCUGAAAGACUUUCAAAAUAUUUGUCAUUUCAGCGCUUUGCCAAGGUGCUUAUUGGCUGUAUCGCGGCCGUUGUCAGUGGCGUGAUGCAUGUUUUCUACUUAUCAGCAUACCACGAGCGGAAAUUCUGGUUUUCCAACAGGCAGGAACUUGAACGAGAAAUCACAUUUCAGGGUGACAGUGCUAUUUAUUACUCCUAUUACAAAGACAUGUUAAAGGCACCGACGUUUGAAAGAGGUGUUUAUGAGCUGACGCACAACAACAAGACCGUCUCCCUGAGGACGAUCAACGCGGUGCAGCAGCUGUCUCUGUACCCGGAGCUCAUUGCCAGUGUUCUCUACCGAGCAACGGGGAGCCAUGAGAUGAUUGAACCAGUAUAUUUCUACAUUGGCAUUGUCUUUGGAUUACAAGGAAUAUAUGUGACAGCUUUAUUUGUCACAAGUUGGCUUAUGAGUGGCACAUGGCUCGCAGGGAUGCUUACUGUUGCAUGGUUCCUAAUUAAUAGGGUGGAUACAACAAGAAUUGAAUACUCUAUUCCUCUAAGAGAAAACUGGGCUCUACCAUAUUUUGCGUGCCAAGUUGCUGCACUUACAGGCUAUUUAAAAAGAAAUCUAAACACUUACGCAGAGAGGUUUUGCUACCUGUUGAUGAGCGCCUCAACGUACACUUUCAUGAUGGUGUGGGAGUACAGCCACUAUGUCUUGUUUCUUCAAGCAGUCUCCCUCCUGCUGCUGGACGUCUUCUCAGAGGAACAAAGUGACAAGAUUUACGAGGUGUAUAAAAUCUACAUAUUUUCCCUUUUCCUUGGGUAUUUACUACAGUUUGAGAAUCCAGCUUUAUUGGUGUCUCCUUUGUUGAGUUUAGUAGGCGCGCUAAUGCUAAUUAAGUGCCUUCAGCUGAAUGGGAAAAAAGGAACUUUUGUGUCUAAAGUAAUCAAAGUGUUUAAGUUUUAUUUGGUAUGUACUCUGCCGCUGACCUUGAAUUUGAUAAUGAAGACAUUUGUCCCACAUAAAGAAAAUGAGCAUGUGCUUAAAUUUCUUGAAGUAAAAUUUGGACUAAAUGUGACUAAGAAUUUCACACUGAACUGGCUGCUCUGUCAGGAGUCUCUCCAGGCACCGUCUCAGGAUUUCUUCUUACGACUGACGCAAUCUUCCCUAUUACCAUUCUAUAUUUUAGUGUUAAUUAUUUGUCUUCUUUCUAUGACACAAGUUAUUUUUCGGAGGAUGAAUGGUAAAUCCCAGAAAGAAAUUGUAACUCUUGAAGACGGGAGAAUUGGAGAAAGGCCAGAAAUCAUUUAUCAUGUCUUUCAUACUCUUAUACUGGGUUCUCUUGCAAUGCUGAUGGAAGGCUUGAAAUUCCUCUGGACCCCGUACGUGUGCAUGCUGGCCGCGUUUGGCGUCUGCUCCCCUGAGCUGUGGAUGACACUCUUAAAGUGGCUUCGGCUGAGGACUGUGCACCCUAUCCUGCUGGCUCUUAUUCUGAGCAUGGCUGUGCCUACUAUUAUAGGUCUUAGUUUAUGGAAAGAGUUUUUUCCGAGAUUAAUUACAGAGUUAACAGAACUACAGGAAUUCUAUGAUCCAGAUACAGUGGAGCUCAUGACCUGGAUAAAGAGACAAGCUCCAGUUGCAGCCGUGUUUGCAGGAAGCCCGCAGUUAAUGGGUGUGAUCAAGCUGUGUACCGGCUGGAUGGUGACGAGCUUGCCACUUUACAGCGAUGACGAUCUUCUCAAGAGAAACGAAAACAUUUACCAGAUCUAUUCAAAGCGAUCUGCUGAGGACAUUUAUAAGAUACUAACAUCUUACAAAGCUAACUACCUAAUUGUAGAAGACGCCAUCUGCAAUGAGAUGGGAACCAUGAGGGGCUGCAGGGUUAAAGAUUUAUUAGAUGUUGCAAAUGGACAUGUGCUUUGUGAAGAAGACAACAAAUUAACUUUUUCAAAGUACGGACGGUUUUGUCACGAGGUCAAGAUUAACUAUUCUCCGUAUGUGAACUACUUUACUCGUGUGUACUGGAACAGGUCCUACUUCGUGUAUAAAGUCAACACUGUGAUCUCCUUCCAGUCUUGAGAAUAGCAGAGCCUUCGCGUCAAAGACUGCUACUUGAAGUCCCACGCAGGGUUCUGGACCUGCACAGUGUCCUGCAGGUGGUGGGAUGUCUGAACUGCUGCUCCUCCUCCCACGCCUGCUGCUGAUUCCUGGGUUGACCGUUUUGUUGGAAGUAGAUCAGAUGCUGCUGUCUUAGUAAAAUGUCAGAUCCAGCACAGCAAUCUUCCUGACAGCUUUCUUCCUUAGUACAUGAUUUAAAGAUUUCCUGUCACAUCAUCUCCUCGUGAAUCUUAUCUAUCAUAAUAUUGAUCUUUAAUUUGGAUAUUUUUCAAGGUGUGUGCGCUUAGAGUCACUUUAAGAUGCUUUACCAUUGUGGAGCCUAACUGACGUUUUCAUACCUCUGUCUAGCGUCUCAGGCUGACUCUGAGCACCUUGGGAAUCAGUAGCGGUUAGCAUCAGGCUUUGUGAAAAAUGACCAGUGCUCAAGUUCACAGUGAGUAGCCAUUUGGUCAUACUUAGGAUCAAAUCAUGCAGAAGCCGGGCGCUGGUGGCACACGCCUUUAACCAGCACUUGGGAGGCAGAGGCAGGUCCUCUGAGUUUGAAGCCACCCUACUCUACAAUAGCUAGUUCUAGGACAGCCUCCAAAGCUACAGAGAAACCCUGCCUUGAAAAACCAACCAACCCAACCAACCAACCAACAACAACAACAAAGCAAAACAAAACCACGCAGAAGCAGCUUAUAUACUGUAAAGUACAAACCCUGUUUCCCUUGUGAUAUGAAAUAUUCAAUUGAAUUUUUACUGACAUGGUAACGUGUGGUGUUUUAGUUGCUGUUUUUUUUCCCUGAAAUAAUAAUUUGCUUUGCUCCUGUCAAUAUAUUUCUUAAAUAGACACACAAUUUCUUAAUUAAAAGUUUAUAGUUAGUCCCA
Molecule: RNA transcript, 3188 nt
Organism: Microtus ochrogaster (prairie vole)
Lineage: Eukaryota; Metazoa; Chordata; Mammalia; Rodentia; Cricetidae
Gene: Dpy19l4
Gene name: dpy-19 like 4
Exons: 20
Source: RefSeq, a predicted model, not a curated record